GUUAAAGUGGCAGAGUCCGGACAUUGCAAAAGACCUAAGCCCUUUCCACGGAGGUUCAAGUCCUCCCUUUAACU
Non-coding RNA from Haplochromis burtoni (Burton's mouthbrooder), 74 nucleotides. NCBI's taxonomy places the organism in Eukaryota, Metazoa, Chordata, Actinopteri, Cichliformes, Cichlidae. The record is from the annotation of a RefSeq genome assembly.